GACAGAGGGUGCAAACGUUGCUCGGAAUUACUGGGCGUAAAGGGUGCGUAGGCGGGUCUUUAAGUCAGGGGUGAAAUCCUGGAGCUCAACUCCAGAACUGCCUUUGAUACUGAAGAUCUUGAGUUCGGGAGAGGUGAGUGGAACUGCGAGUGUAGAGGUGAAAUUCGUAGAUAUUCGCAAGAACACCAGUGGCGAAGGCGGCUCACUGGCCCGAUACUGACGCUGAGGCACGAAAGCGUGGGGAGCAAACAGG
This 253-nucleotide ribosomal RNA is filed under the name uncultured bacterium. RNAcentral describes it as "partial 16S ribosomal RNA". It matches the Rfam family "Bacterial small subunit ribosomal RNA", at positions 524 to 776 of the family's 1533-position model. The record is from RNAcentral.